GAAGCUUUACUGUAUCUUGGAAUUGGGUUUGGGCUUUGCUUGCGCAGGAUAGGUGGGAGGCUUUGAAGAUGUUCUUGCGGGAACAUUGGAGCCAAUGGUGAGAUACCACUCUAGUAAGGCUAAAAUUCUAACUUCGAACCGUUAUCCGGUCGAGGAACAGUUUCAGGUGGGCAGUUUGACUGGGGCGGUCGCCUCCUAAAAGGUAACGGAGGCGUGCAAAGGUUCCCUCAGGCUGGUCGGACAUCAGUCGUAGAGUGUAAAGGCAUAAGGGAGCUUGACUGCGAGACCUACAAGUCGAGCAGAGACGAAAGUCGGCCUUAGUGAUCCGACGGUUCCGAGUGGAAGGGCCGUCGCUCAACGGAUAAAAGUUACUCUAGG
Molecule: ribosomal RNA, 378 nt
Filed under: Rhodomonas lens
Lineage: Eukaryota; Cryptophyceae; Pyrenomonadales; Pyrenomonadaceae
Description: LSU rRNA
Rfam family: Bacterial large subunit ribosomal RNA
Source: RNAcentral